GGACUACACGGGUAUCUAAUCCUGUUUGCUCCCCACGCUUUCGUGCAUGAGCGUCAGUGCAGGCCCAGGAGAUUGCCUUCGCCAUCGGUGUUCCUCCGCAUAUCUACGCAUUUCACUGCUACACGCGGAAUUCCAUCUCCCUCUGCCGCACUCUAGCUAUGCAGUCACAAAUGCAGUUCCCAGGUUGAGCCCGGGGAUUUCACAUCUGUCUUGCAUAACCGCCUGCGCACGCUUUACGCCCAGUAAUUCCGAUUAACGCUUGCACCCUACGUAUUACCGCGGCGGCUGGCAC
Molecule: ribosomal RNA, 292 nt
Filed under: uncultured bacterium
Lineage: Bacteria
Also listed under: 1 other name
Description: partial 16S ribosomal RNA
Source: RNAcentral